Molecule: ribosomal RNA, 279 nt
Filed under: uncultured bacterium
Lineage: Bacteria
Description: partial 16S ribosomal RNA
Rfam family: Bacterial small subunit ribosomal RNA
Source: RNAcentral
UGCCAGCAGCCGCGGUAAUACAGAGGGUGCGAACGUUGCUCGGAUUUACUGGGCGUAAAGCGCGUGUAGGCGGACUCGCAAGUCGGUUGUGAAAUCCCUGGGCUCAACCUAGGAACUGCAUCCGAAACUGCUUGUCUUGAGUAAUGGAGAGGAAAGCGGAAUUAUCGGUGUAGAGGUGAAAUUCGUAGAUAUCGAUAGGAACACCAGUGGCGAAGGCGGCUUUCUGGACAUUUACUGACGCUGAGACGCGAAAGCGUGGGGAGCAAACAGGAUUAGAUA